GACGAACGCUGGCGGCGUGCUUAACACAUGCAAGUCGAACGGAAAGGCCCUGCUUUUGUUGGUUGCUCGAGUGGCGAACGGGUGAGUAACACGUGAGUAACCUGCCCUUGACUUUGGGAUAACUUCAGGAAACUGGGGCUAAUACCGGAUAGGAGCUCCUGCUGCAUGGUUGGGGUUGGAAAGUUUCGGCGGUUGGGGAUGGACUCGCGGCUUAUCAGCUUGUUGGUGGGGUAGUGGCUUACCAAGGCUUUGACGGGUAGCCGGCAUGAGAGGGUGACCGGCGACAAUGGGACUGAGAGACGGCCCAGACGCCUACGGGAGGCAGCAGUGGGGAAUAUUGCACAAUGGGCGGAAGCCUGAUGAAGCAACGCCGCGUGCGGGAUGACGGCCUUCGGGUUGUAAACCGCUUUCGCAUGUGACGAAGCGUGAGUGACGGUAAUGGGUAAAGAAGCACCGGCUAACUACGUG
Molecule: ribosomal RNA, 468 nt
Filed under: uncultured bacterium
Lineage: Bacteria
Description: partial 16S ribosomal RNA
Rfam family: Bacterial small subunit ribosomal RNA
Source: RNAcentral